CAGUCGCCACGGGAAUACGUAGGUGGCAAGCGUUGUCCGGAAUUAUUGGGCGUAAAGCGCGCGCAGGCGGAUCAGUUAGUCUGUCUUAAAAGUUCGGGGCUUAACCCCGUGAUGGGAUGGAAACUGCUGAUCUAGAGUAUCGGAGAGGAAAGUGGAAUUCCUAGUGUAGCGGUGAAAUGCGUAGAUAUUAGGAAGAACACCAGUGGCGAAGGCGACUUUCUGGACGAAAACUGACGCUGAGGCGCGAAAGCCAGGGGAGCGAACGGGAUUAGAUACCCCUGUAGUCCCUGUCUCUUAUACA
RNAcentral lists this ribosomal RNA (301 nucleotides) under uncultured bacterium. RNAcentral's name for it is "partial 16S ribosomal RNA". It matches the Rfam family "Bacterial small subunit ribosomal RNA", at positions 509 to 809 of the family's 1533-position model. The record is from RNAcentral.